GAUGAACGCUGGCGGCGUGCCUAAUACAUGCAAGUCGAGCGAACGGACGAGAAGCUUGCUUCUCUGAUGUUAGCGGCGGACGGGUGAGUAACACGUGGAUAACCUACCUAUAAGACUGGGAUAACUUCGGGAAACCGGAGCUAAUACCGGAUAAUAUUUUGAACCGCAUGGUUCAAAAGUGAAAGACGGUCUUGCUGUCACUUAUAGAUGGAUCCGCGCUGCAUUAGCUAGUUGGUAAGGUAACGGCUUACCAAGGCAACGAUGCAUAGCCGACCUGAGAGGGUUAUCGGCCACCCUGGAACUGAGACACGGUCCAGACUCCUACGGGAGGCAGCAGUAGGGAAUCUUCCGCAAUGGGCGAAAGCCUGACGGAGCAACGCCGCGUGAGUGAUGAAGGUCUUCGGAUCGUAAAACUCUGUUAUGAGGGAAGAACAUAUGUGUAAGUAACUGUGCACAUCUUGACGGUACCUAAUCAGAAAGCCACGGCUAACUACGUG
Molecule: ribosomal RNA, 497 nt
Filed under: uncultured bacterium
Lineage: Bacteria
Description: partial 16S ribosomal RNA
Rfam family: Bacterial small subunit ribosomal RNA
Source: RNAcentral